Long non-coding RNA from Xenopus tropicalis (tropical clawed frog), 318 nucleotides. RefSeq lists it as uncharacterized. The record is from RefSeq and is a predicted model, not a curated record. The transcript has 3 exons. Lineage: Eukaryota; Metazoa; Chordata; Amphibia; Anura; Pipidae.
ACUUGGAGUUUGUUGGCAGAUAUCACGUGAGUUUGUCUGCACCUGGGUAGAUUCAAUUCUUCCAGGUGCCGGCAAAAUUAGAAUUAGUUUUUUUAUACGGGUGGAUUGUCACAUACAGCCUGAGGAAGCGCAGGGCUAAGAGAAGCAGAUCUACUUUCUGUGGGUCCUUGCCCUUAGGGGGAAGAGCCCUUUGAAGCAAGCAGGGAAUCUGACUGCAAUACUCCAUGUACCCUCAUGAUGGCAGCCCUGAGAGAACAAAAAGAGACCUUAUAUUAGAGGAGGGGGAGAGUGAGAGAGCUGCGCAGACUCUGCCCCGGG